ACCGGGCUUGCCACUUUGCGUACAUAAGACAGGUGGGUAAUUAUAAAGCGGGUAAAGCGUAGCUAUCUCUAGAGUACAAGUUCAAGGAAGUAAAGUGCUGUCCCCUCUAGUCCAGGAAGAGGGUGGAGGGCCUGCCUCCCUGUCAUCUUCCGAGGGAAGGGUGUCAGAGGUUUGUGUCCCCAACACCAUCACUACUAUGUCUUUCUCAAGACCAGUGUCACCACCACAAUGAUAAAGCCGUUAGCUAAGGCUGUUACCAUCAUCCUCUUCCGUAAACCACCACCAUGCUUGUCGCGUCCCCGUGCCCGCCGUGCUUUACAGACGUUUCCCGCACUACCCGGUGCGGUUCUCAGUCCCUUGCUGGCCACUCGCACCUGCACCUUGGCCUCUCAGCAACGCCGGCGCGGCCUGUUCCCUGCCUCUGGUCCCUCGGGCUUACCUGGGUCUUGACGAGACUUGAGAGGAAGCCAAGGGUGACAAGCAGUUGCACCGCGGCCG
This 498-nucleotide long non-coding RNA is filed under the name Rattus norvegicus (Norway rat). RNAcentral describes it as "long non-coding RNA NONRATT012683". The record is from RNAcentral. Lineage: Eukaryota; Metazoa; Chordata; Mammalia; Rodentia; Muridae.